RNAcentral lists this ribosomal RNA (253 nucleotides) under uncultured bacterium. Its description in RNAcentral is "partial 16S ribosomal RNA". It matches the Rfam family "Bacterial small subunit ribosomal RNA", at positions 524 to 776 of the family's 1533-position model. The record is from RNAcentral.
UACGAAGGGGGCUAGCGUUGUUCGGAAUUACUGGGCGUAAAGCGCACGUAGGCGGACAUUUAAGUCAGGGGUGAAAUCCCAGAGCUCAACUCUGGAACUGCCUUUGAUACUGGGUGUCUAGAGUCCGGAAGAGGUGAGUGGAAUUCCGAGUGUAGAGGUGAAAUUCGUAGAUAUUCGGAGGAACACCAGUGGCGAAGGCGGCUCACUGGUCCGGUACUGACGCUGAGGUGCGAAAGCGUGGGGAGCAAACAGG